AUGCUACCCGUCAAGUAUGAAAAGAUACCUUAUUUCUGCCAGGUGUGUGGAUUGAUGGGACAUAACCAUGAGGAAUGCGGUGGUGGUAUCUGGGAGGCAAAGCAUAAGCAGUGGGGCAGUUGGAUGUUAGCCAAAAGGAAGGAAGCAGUACCUGAGACUCAAGGUGGAGGCCGUGCAGCUCGGGGUGGCCGAACUGGCGGGCGGGGCAGAGCGGGGAGGGCUGGCCGUGGUGAUCCACCCCCACGCCAGAGAUCACCCCCUCGCAAGAGAUCAUCACAGGAUGCCGGUCUGCACACAGGAGAAGAGGGGGAUGAGGAGGUGAUGAGUCCAUUAAAACAGCCUGAACCGGGGGCAAGCAAACCAACAGAAUUGGUCAGCUCUGAAAAGGACGUGGAGGAACCAUCUGCACGAAAGAACCUGAGCUUGGCGUUCUCUGCUACUUGCGUCACCGAACCUGGCCAGGAGAAUAGUGCCAUGCCGCCGCUUCCACCGGCGUACGUCUCACCCAGGGAGAUCAAGAAGGCAAAGAAGGAUGCUUCCCCGAAGAAAAGCAACAAUUUGGCAUUAUUGGCGGGCUCCAACGGGGAGCGCCGCCGGGCCCAAUGA
RNAcentral lists this ribosomal RNA (606 nucleotides) under Triticum aestivum (bread wheat). RNAcentral's name for it is "partial small subunit ribosomal RNA". Lineage: Eukaryota; Viridiplantae; Streptophyta; Magnoliopsida; Poales; Poaceae. The record is from RNAcentral.